ACAAUUGCUUACCACUUAGUUGUAACUAGAAACGAUGGGUUCUAAGGGUUAAGAAUUCUAAUUCAUGUAUGUAAUUACUAGAAAUAAUAGAAACAACUAACUCCAUGUGCGGCGAAAAUAGAAUGUGUUUUUGGCCGAGGAAAGAACACAACUGGAAGCAUGGUUGUAUUACCAAGGCUUUGACUGUAAUGUCAUAUUUGAAAAUAAUACGCAUAAAACCAAGUAUGACCAGCCAACUUUAAGGAACUAAGGUUGACUUUAUGGAACCAAUAAAGCCCCUUGGAAAGGAAAAAUGGACCCGCAACCUUGCUUAUAGGAUUUUGGACAGCCUUACCAGACUUCAUCCCAUUUUACUACUUGAAGGAAACCACCCUUUCUAGAUGGGAGUCGGUGCUGUAUCUGGGCCUUCAGUACCAAACCACCGAGGCUCCCUCUGUGAGAUAAGUGACCCUCUCCUGACUUACAGAAAACCAAACCAGGAGGAAUGGAUUAAAAAAAAAAAAAAAACCAAGCCCGCUUCUGAGGGACGGUCUGAUAAGAACUUCAAAGUAAUAUCUGUCUUUUAUACCAGUGUUACUUACUUAUUCCUUCCAUUUGUUUUCAUAGCCAUGACUUUGAGAAAAAAGAACUCUUGGUAAGAAGUAGACCCUGUUACGAUAUGGACAUGUAGAUUAACUAUUCCAUCCAAAAACAAGUCAAGCCCACCACGAGCCUUAAUGUGUAUCUGUGUUCCUUCCUUUUUCUGGACUAAAACUGAUCCCUACCUUGGCUUGAGUGAAACUCCCGAGAAAGCUGAAGGGACAGGACCUGUCAUUGACAGACCUGCGCCAAACAGACCCUUUGUCAACACCACGUUCUUCCUUCCGCCAAGAAGCCAAACCUCCAGGAUCGUCUCCUCGCAUUGAUUUCUUGAGACUCUAGCUCCUGCCAACUGAAAAUGCUCCCUCUGCUGUCAGUGAUGACCUCUGUGAGGUCACCAAUGGCCACUGCUCACACCUCAUCCUUCUUGGCAGGAUGGCAGUACUUACUAGCACUGGUCUCUUCCUUUUUUGUCCAACAUGCUUUCCUAGACUUGGAGGACACAGCUCACCUACUGGUUUCCCUCCUGAGUCCCUGCUUGACCGUCUUCCUCUGGCCACCAACUAUACCUCCAGGCUGGGGCAACUGAAAUGAAACUGGUCUUCCCAGGCCCACGCCUGUCCUCCUCCAGUUUGUGAACAAGCCUGCAGUGAUCCUGACAAAGGUGAAUCGGGUCCGGCUGCCGCUCUCCCGUGGGUCUCACCAUGGCGACCGAGCUCCUCCUCUGGGCCCUGCCUGCCUCUCCAGCUUUCUUCUUACCCUGGAUCCUUUCACCUGUGUGUGCCAGCUGCAUCUGUAUUUUUAAAAUUCCUUUUGAAAAUUUCACUCGGCCACGACCAUUACAAGGUUUCCCAGCUUCUCAUUUAUCAAGGAGGACAAAGAACUACCUACCUCCUAGGGUCAUUUGAAUGACGGAGUGAAUAAAUCAGAGUAAAGCACUUAGAACGGCGCAGGCUGGCAGCACGAGCUAUGCGUGUUAACUCAAUAUCACACUUUCACCUGUGUCUGCCUAGAGUCUGUUUUCAACACGGCCCCCAGAAUAAGCCCUUAAAAAAAGAAAAAGCCAAAUCACUUCCUGACUCUGCUUAGCACCGACUGAUAGAUUUUCCUCUCAAAAUCAGACGUCCUCACUCUGGUUACCUACUGCUUCUUUGACCUCAUCUCCACACUGUCUCUCCCAGCCCCCCUUACUAGAUUCAAGCUACAUUUACCUCCUUGCUGGAACUUACACAGGCCAAGCACAUUCCUGUUUCAGUUGUGGUUCCUUCUACAUGGAAAGCACUUUUUCCGUUAUUGAUGUGGCUUACUCUCUCGUACCCUUCAGGUCCUACAAAAACCACCCACCAUCGAGAAUCCUCUAUCAAGGCUCUAUUGACAUUUUGAGCCAGAUCCUUGUCUUGGGGGAUGUUUAGCAGCGUCUCUGGUCUCUAACUGCUGGAUGCCACAGUCCCCCAGUGCCCAACUGUGAUAAUGAACAGCAUUCCCAAACACUGAAGAGUGGCCCCCUGGGAGGCAGAACGGUAUACUCCAAAAUAAAACCACCUCACAGGCUUUUCCUCCUAAUGUAUUGAAGGAAUUUUUCCAUCGCAUGACAUACGGAUUUACCACACUCUUUUGAAUAGCUACAGAUUCAAGUGCAUUUUCCUGUUACUUUACUGGGGGUCAUUAGGUUCGUUCUUUCCCAUUUUUCACUAGUACAAACAA
Molecule: long non-coding RNA, 2283 nt
Organism: Mustela erminea (ermine)
Lineage: Eukaryota; Metazoa; Chordata; Mammalia; Carnivora; Mustelidae
Exons: 3
Source: RefSeq, a predicted model, not a curated record